RNAcentral lists this ribosomal RNA (254 nucleotides) under uncultured bacterium. RNAcentral describes it as "partial 16S ribosomal RNA". It matches the Rfam family "Bacterial small subunit ribosomal RNA", at positions 524 to 776 of the family's 1533-position model. The record is from RNAcentral.
CACGUAGGGGGCAAGCGUUGUCCGGAUUUAUUGGGCGUAAAGAGCUCGUAGGCGGCUCACUAAGUCGGGUGUGAAAUUUCGAGGCUCAACCUCGAAACGCCACCCGAUACUGGUGUGGCUAGAGUCCGGUAGGGGAGCGUGGAAUUCCUGGUGUAGCGGUGAAAUGCGCAGAUAUCAGGAGGAAUACCGAUGGCGAAGGCAGGUCUCUGGGCUGACACUGACGCUCAUGCACGAAAGCGUGGGGAGCAAACAGG